This 492-nucleotide ribosomal RNA is filed under the name uncultured bacterium. Its description in RNAcentral is "partial 16S ribosomal RNA". It matches the Rfam family "Bacterial small subunit ribosomal RNA", at positions 29 to 507 of the family's 1533-position model. The record is from RNAcentral.
AGUGAACGCUGGCGGUAGGCCUAACACAUGCAAGUCGAACGGCAGCACAGUAAGAGCUUGCUCUUACGGGUGGCGAGUGGCGGACGGGUGUGGAAUACAUCGGAAUCUACUUUUUCGUGGGGGAUAACGUAGGGAAACUUACGCUAAUACCGCAUACGACCUACGGGUGAAAGCAGGGGAUCUUCGGACCUUGCGCGAUUGAAUGAGCCGAUGUCGGAUUAGCUAGUGGGCGGGGUAAAGGCCCACCAAGGCGACGAUCCGUAGCUGGUCUGAGAGGAUGAUCAGCCACACUGGAACUGAGACACGGUCCAGACUCCUACGGGAGGCAGCAGUGGGGAAUAUUGGACAAUGGGCGCAAGCCUGAUCCAGCCAUACCGCGUGGGUGAAGAAGGCCUUCGGGUUGUAAAGCCCUUUUGUUGGGAAAGAAAAGCAGCAGGUUAAUACCCCGCUGUUCUGACGGUACCCAAAGAAUAAGCACCGGCUAACUUCGUG